RNAcentral lists this long non-coding RNA (406 nucleotides) under Panax ginseng (ginseng). Its description in RNAcentral is "long non-coding RNA (PGIN_LNC017376)". Lineage: Eukaryota; Viridiplantae; Streptophyta; Magnoliopsida; Apiales; Araliaceae. The record is from RNAcentral.
GGUAGCUGAGAUUAGAGAACUCGCUCUACAAACGGAAGAUGUCCUCGAAACAGAGGAAAAAUGCAGUAAUCAAACAGAGGCAAAAUGCAGUAAUACUAGACAUAAUAUGCAUCAAAUAGAAACGAUUUUACCAAAAUGAUUCUUAAGUUAUGGAUUAAUGAAAUUAAAGACAAUUCUUCAACAAGUUCACGCAGCUAAAACUAUAGAAGUGAUUGAAGAAAAGAAUAAAAGAAAAAUAAUUCUUCAAAAAGUUCAUACCACAGAGACGAUUUGGCGGCAGGGAUUUUAGUGUGCAAACCAAUCUCAGUUGUUCUUCUCUCCCGGCAUGGAUUGUUGGCGAAAAAUAAUUUAGGAAGAUGAAGAGAAAAAGAAACGAUGAUGUAUUGAGGAGUAUGGAGCAUUUCAG